UCCCUUGUGGCUUAGCUGGUAAAGAAUCCACCUGCAAUGUGGAUGACCUGGGUUUGAAACCUGGGUUGGGAA
This 72-nucleotide transfer RNA is filed under the name Bos taurus (domestic cattle). It matches the Rfam family "tRNA". Rfam says of the family: Transfer RNA (tRNA) molecules are approximately 80 nucleotides in length. Their secondary structure includes four short double-helical elements and three loops (D, anti-codon, and T loops). Lineage: Eukaryota; Metazoa; Chordata; Mammalia; Artiodactyla; Bovidae. The record is from Rfam by way of RNAcentral. RNAcentral also lists the same sequence under 3 other names.